Molecule: ribosomal RNA, 253 nt
Filed under: uncultured bacterium
Lineage: Bacteria
Description: partial 16S ribosomal RNA
Rfam family: Bacterial small subunit ribosomal RNA
Source: RNAcentral
UACGAAUGGGGCAAGCGUUGUUCGGAAUCACUGGGCUUAAAGCGUGCGCAGGCGGAUAUGAAAGUCAGGAGUGAAAUCCCAGGGCUCAACCCUGGAAUUGCUUUUGAAACUUCAUAUCUAGAAUCCGGUAGAGGUUAGUGGAAUUCCGAGUGUAGAGGUGAAAUUCGCAGAUAUUCGGAGGAACACCAGUGGCGAAGGCGACUAACUGGACCGGUAUUGACGCUCAGGCACGAAAGCGUGGGGAGCAAACAGG